UCGGGUGACUGCGUGCCUUUUGCAUAAUGAUCCUACGAGUUACUCCUCAUUAGCAAGGUUAAGUAGUUAAGCUACGUAGCCGAAGCGAAAGCAAGUCUGAAUAGGGCGUAUAGUUAGUGGGGGUAGACGCGAAACUUGGUGAUCUACCCAUGGGCAGGUUGAAGCUGUGGUAACACACAGUGGAGGACCGAACCCGUUGACGUUGAAAAGUCUUGGGAUGACCUGUGGGUAGGGGUGAAAGGCCAAUCAAGCUCGGAAAUAGCUCGUACUCCCCGAAAUGCAUUUAGGUGCAGCGUGUACAUAGUUUUAUAGAGGUAGAGCUACUGAUUGGAUGCGGGGGCUUCACCGCCUACCAAUUCCUGACAAACUCCGAAUGCUAUGAAAUGAUUGUGCGCAGUGAGGGCAUGGGUGCUAAGGUCCAUGUCCGAGAGGGAAAGAACCCGGACCAUCAGCUAAGGUCCCCAAGUGUGUGCUAAGUUGACAAAACGCGGUGGGACUGCAUAGACAGCCAGGAUGUUGGCUUGGAAGCAGCCAUUCAUUUAAAGAGUGCGUAACAGCUCACUGGUCGAGCGGUCCCGCAUGGAUAAUGAUCGGGCAUAAGCACACCACCGAAGCUAUGGCUUUGUAUUUAUACAAGGGGUAGGGGAGCAUUCCAUUCUGCGUUGAAGCGGGCCUGCGAGGUCCCGUGGAGCGUAUGGAAACGAAAAUGUAGGCAUAAGUAACGAUAAUGCGGGCGAGAAACCCGCACGCCGAAAGACCAAGGUUUCCCCGGCCAUGCUAAUCAGCCGGGGGUCAGUCGGGACCUAACACGAACCCGGAAGGGGCAGUGGAUGGACAAGCGGUUAAUAUUCCGCUACCCGCAAUGCGACAAAAGUGACGGGGCACCGGAGUUGGUGCGCACAGACGGAAUUGUGCGUUGAACCUUCGGGGAUAGUACACCAAGGCCACGGCCGCGGUGAUAAUCCAGCGUAGGUGCCUCCAAGAAAAGCGAGCAUUGCGGCCCGUACCGUAAACCGACACAGGUGGUCGGGAUGAGUAUUCUAAGGCGCUCGAGAGAUUCAUGGCUAAGGAACUAGGCAAAAUAGACCCGUAACUUCGGGAGAAGGGUCGCUCCGAUUUAUCGGAGCCGCAGUGAAUGGGCCCAGGCGACUGUUUAUCAAAAACACAGGGCUCUGCGAAGUCGCAAGACGACGUAUAGGGUCUGACGCCUGCCCGGUGCCGGAAG
Molecule: ribosomal RNA, 1225 nt
Filed under: uncultured Stichotrichia
Lineage: Eukaryota; Ciliophora; Spirotrichea
Description: partial Bacterial large subunit ribosomal RNA
Rfam family: Bacterial large subunit ribosomal RNA
Source: RNAcentral